RNAcentral lists this ribosomal RNA (496 nucleotides) under uncultured bacterium. RNAcentral describes it as "partial 16S ribosomal RNA". It matches the Rfam family "Bacterial small subunit ribosomal RNA", at positions 29 to 507 of the family's 1533-position model. The record is from RNAcentral.
AUGAACGCUGGCGGCGUGCCUCAUACCUGCAAGUCGAGCGAACAGACGAGGAGCUUGCUCCUCUGACGUUAGCGGCGGACGGGUGAGUAACACGUGGAUAACCUACCUAUAAGACUGGGAUAACUUCGGGAAACCGGAGCUAAUACCGGAUAAUAUAUUGAACCGCAUGGUUCAAUAGUGAAAGACGGUUUUGCUGUCACUUAUAGAUGGAUCCGCGCCGCAUUAGCUAGUUGGUAAGGUAACGGCUUACCAAGGCAACGAUGCGUAGCCGACCUGAGAGGGUGAUCGGCCACACUGGAACUGAGACACGGUCCAGACUCCUACGGGAGGCAGCAGUAGGGAAUCUUCCGCAAUGGGCGAAAGCCUGACGGAGCAACGCCGCGUGAGUGAUGAAGGUCUUCGGAUCAUAAAACUCUGUUAUUAGGGAAGAACAAAUGUGUAAGUAACUAUGCACGUCUUGACGGUACCUAAUCAGAAAGCCACGGCUAACUACGUG